This 468-nucleotide ribosomal RNA is filed under the name uncultured bacterium. Its description in RNAcentral is "partial 16S ribosomal RNA". It matches the Rfam family "Bacterial small subunit ribosomal RNA", at positions 28 to 507 of the family's 1533-position model. The record is from RNAcentral.
GAUGAACGCUGGCGGCGUGCUUAACACAUGCAAGUCGAACGGUGAAGGCGGAGCUUGCUCUGCUGGAUCAGUGGCGAACGGGUGAGUGACACGUGAGCAAUCUGCCCCUGACUCUGGGAUAAGCGCUGGAAACGGCGUCUAAUACUGGAUACGAGCUGCGAAGGCAUCUUCAGCAGCUGGAAAGAACUUCGGUCAGGGAUGAGCUCGCGGCCUAUCAGCUUGUUGGUGAGGUAACGGCUCACCAAGGCGUCGACGGGUAGCCGGCCUGAGAGGGUGACCGGCCACACUGGGACUGAGACACGGCCCAGACUCCUACGGGAGGCAGCAGUGGGGAAUAUUGCACAAUGGGCGAAAGCCUGAUGCAGCAACGCCGCGUGAGGGACGACGGCCUUCGGGUUGUAAACCUCUUUUAGCAGGGAAGAAGCGAAAGUGACGGUACCUGCAGAAAAAGCGCCGGCUAACUACGUG